RNAcentral lists this ribosomal RNA (443 nucleotides) under Halomonas sp. M16-C5. Its description in RNAcentral is "bacterial SSU rRNA". It matches the Rfam family "Bacterial small subunit ribosomal RNA", at positions 1 to 448 of the family's 1533-position model. Lineage: Bacteria; Pseudomonadati; Pseudomonadota; Gammaproteobacteria; Oceanospirillales; Halomonadaceae. The record is from RNAcentral.
UAGAGUUUGAUCAUGGCUCAGAUUGAACGCUGGCGGCAGGCCUAACACAUGCAAGUCGAGCGGAAACGAUGGAAGCUUGCUUCCAGGCGUCGAGCGGCGGACGGGUGAGUAAUGCAUGGGAAUCUGCCCGAUAGUGGGGGAUAACCUGGGGAAACCCAGGCUAAUACCGCAUACGUCCUACGGGAGAAAGCAGGGGAUCUUCGGACCUUGCGCUAUCGGAUGAGCCCAUGUCGGAUUAGCUUGUUGGUGAGGUAAUGGCUCACCAAGGCGACGAUCCGUAGCUGGUCUGAGAGGAUGAUCAGCCACAUCGGGACUGAGACACGGCCCGAACUCCUACGGGAGGCAGCAGUGGGGAAUAUUGGACAAUGGGCGAAAGCCUGAUCCAGCCAUGCCGCGUGUGUGAAGAAGGCCCUCGGGUUGUAAAGCACUUUCAGUGGGGAAGA